RNAcentral lists this ribosomal RNA (301 nucleotides) under uncultured bacterium. RNAcentral's name for it is "partial 16S ribosomal RNA". It matches the Rfam family "Bacterial small subunit ribosomal RNA", at positions 509 to 807 of the family's 1533-position model. The record is from RNAcentral.
CAGCAGCCGCGGGAAUACAGAGGGUGCGAGCGUUAAUCGGAUUUACUGGGCGUAAAGCGUGCGCAGGCGGUUAUAUAAGACAGAUGUGAAAUCCCCGGGCUCAACCUGGGAACUGCAUUUGUGACUGUAUAGCUAGAGUACGGCAGAGGGGGAUGGAAUUCCGCGUGUAGCAGUGAAAUGCGUAGAUAUGCGGAGGAACACCGAUGGCGAAGGCAAUCCCCUGGGCCUGUACUGACGCUCAUGCACGAAAGCGUGGGGAGCAAACAGGAUUAGAUACCCCCGUAGUCCCUGUCUCUUAUAC